RNAcentral lists this ribosomal RNA (125 nucleotides) under uncultured bacterium. Its description in RNAcentral is "partial 16S ribosomal RNA". It matches the Rfam family "Bacterial small subunit ribosomal RNA", at positions 214 to 334 of the family's 1533-position model. The record is from RNAcentral.
CGUGCUACUAGAUGGGCCUAUAUCAGAUUAGCUAGUUGGUAAGGUAAUGGCUUACCAAGGCGACGAUCUGUAGCUGGUUUGAGAGGAACUGAUCGAGCCCACACUGGGACUGAGACACGGCCCAG